GAGUAGUAUAUGUUUUAGACAGGAAACUUAAAGAAUUUGGCGGUGUAUAUUCUAAUUAGAGGAAUAUGUUUUUUAAUUGAUAAUCCACAUGUAUUUCACUUAAGUUAAUUUAUUUUGUAUAUCUCCGUCUUAAAAGGACUUUCUAAAAUAUUCUUUAUGUUUUAUUAUUCAAAAUAAGUCAGGUCAAGGUGCAGAUUACACUUAAGUUAAAAUGUAUUACAAUAAAUUUAUUUUUGGAUUAAAAAUUAAAUAUUUUUAUAAAAUUGGAUUUAUAAGUAAAGGUUUUUAUAUAAAAAUUUUUUGAAUAGUGUUAAUAUAUAUGCACACAUC
RNAcentral lists this ribosomal RNA (330 nucleotides) under Trichadenotecnum sp. Tiger6. RNAcentral describes it as "partial 12S rRNA". Lineage: Eukaryota; Metazoa; Arthropoda; Insecta; Psocodea; Psocidae. The record is from RNAcentral.